This 230-nucleotide ribosomal RNA is filed under the name uncultured bacterium. RNAcentral's name for it is "partial 16S ribosomal RNA". It matches the Rfam family "Bacterial small subunit ribosomal RNA", at positions 99 to 334 of the family's 1533-position model. The record is from RNAcentral.
CGGACGGGUGAGUAAUGUCUGGGAAACUGCCUGAUGGAGGGGGAUAACUACUGGAAACGGUAGCUAAUACCGCAUAACGCGCAAGACCAAAGAGGGGACCUUCGGGCCUCUUGCCAUCGGAUGUGCCCAGAUGGGAUUAGCUAGUAGGUGGGGUAACGGCUCACCUAGGCGACGAUCCCUAGCUGGUCUGAGAGGAUGACCAGCCACACUGGAACUGAGACACGGUCCAG